Molecule: ribosomal RNA, 253 nt
Filed under: uncultured bacterium
Lineage: Bacteria
Description: partial 16S ribosomal RNA
Rfam family: Bacterial small subunit ribosomal RNA
Source: RNAcentral
UACGUAGGUGGCAAGCGUUAUCCGGAAUUACUGGGCGUAAAGCGCACGCAGGCGGUCUUUUAAGUUUGACGUGAAAGCUCCCGGCUUAACUGGGAGAGGUCGUUGAAUACUGGAAGACUUGAGGCAAUGAGAGGGGUGUAGAAUUCCCGGUGUAGUGGUGGAAUGCGUAGAUAUCAGGGGGAAUACCAGUGGCGAAAGCGGCACCCUAGCGUUAGCCUGACGCUCAUGUGCGAAAGCGUGGGGAGCAAACGGG